UAAUAAACAUUUUAAACAAUUAAAAAAUAACAACUUUUAAAAAUGGGGAAGAUUCCAUAGUCACCAUACCAUCUCAUCUUCUCCCUUAAAAAAGAAAAGAGUGUUAUUCCAGAUUCCUCGUUUUACACCCAGGAAACUGAGGCCGGGAGAAGGGAUGUGACCAGGAGCGCAUUGUGGGGCAUCUCAUGGCGCCUGAGGCCUCCUGCCUCUCCAGCGAUCCCCCGAUCCCCCAGAUGCGGCUGCGACACAGAAGUUUUCACUCAUCAGAGGAUCCCUUCCUGAGGAAUUGUUUGGGAAGGAAAGGAGAAGAGAGAGUGCGGGAAAGGUGGGGAAUUCAGAUCGCCCGUGAUGGCGUGAUGGCGUGUCGCAUGCUCCUGCUGGGUCACAAAUCUUGUCUGCACUCACGCCCGAGGGAGAGGACAGCAUCCUACUCAUUUCAGAAAAGGAAGAGAAGAGAGUAUUAGUCAGAAGCUGUCAUUUGGGUACGCUUUUUAUUUUUUUCCGGGGAAGCGCUGGGGGGAUGGGUAGAGGAGACCCCCUCAUUCCAGAUUUAAAAAAGGAAGGCGUCCUAGAAGUGACAGGUGGGAAUAUCGUCCACCACUGUUUGUUCAGCUUUCGCCAAGUUAGAGGUCAACCUCCAGUUGUCGAUGGGGGGAAAAGUCUAGUGAACAAAAUAUCCUUAUCGUUAAAUAUUAUCUUGCAAAAAUAUUUACUGGGGGGUAAACGUAGAACAUUGUGUUGAUAAUGAGACGCACAAAAUUCGAAACUGCGGCCAAUCCCACGAAACAAUACCCAGGAAGAGGCUUUGUUUCCAUCAGCCCUGGUGGGCCCGUGCUGGUAUUUAGAGGUUUGCCUGCGGCCCUGGUCCUUGUCGUGAGCUUCCGGCUUCACGGGCCACCAUGCUUCUUGGCCAAAUGGAUUAUUUUUUAUUACUCUCCCAGGGUGAAUGUAAAAAAGCUUUUAGUGUACAUCAUAACCUAAGCGUCACUCCUGAAAAUCAAACUGGGUUAGAGCCGUAUUCCUGUUUGGGAGAACAUUCUCACUCCCCCCAUGUUUGUUCAUCUCAUUUCCUGAAAGCCUGGGUGUAUCCCAGACCCUUCGUUCCCAGUGAGGAGGGCAGUGAAAACAGACGCGUGCAGCAAGGAUCAGGACAACUCGGGGUGGAGGAUGAAGUAAGCUCUGUGCGCCCCAGGAGCUCAGAAGCAGCAGUCUGGAUGGAUUCCCCUCUUGCACACCGCCCGCCCGAGCGUCGUAUCCAGGGGCCUGGGGUCACCAUCCCGCCUGGUGCUGUGGACGCAUCCUGUGCUCAGUCCUUCAUGCCCAGAUUGCUGCCGUGGCCUCCUGGCUGAGUCCGCGUCCCGGUUCAUUCCACCCACCUGCACCUGCUGAGCCUCCCCAAACCCACCCUCCUCCAGGGAAGCUGGUCUCCAGGACACCCUCUCUGAAAGAGGACUUCAGCUGCCUCCACUUUGGCCACAGACUGUCUAGUUGGGGUCUUUCCAGCUCGUCCCUGGGCUCAGAAGGAAGAUACUGUAGGCAAAGCAGCCCCUGAUGGAACUAAAGUGCCCGCUCACGCGGCAAGGACUGUCCCCAGCCAGUAAGAUCCCGCCCGUGACUGACCCCAAGACAGCGGUCUGUUUGACCUUCCCUGUCCACCAGCAGGUGCCCACCCACCUUUGCCCCACAUUUUCUGUAUGUAAACCUGCAAGUGUGUGCAGUACCUUGGAGAUAGUCAAAAAUAUUUAAACACCUCUAGUUUACACAAUGAAAUGCAGAGGCAUCGGGGGUUGGGGGGGGGGGGAGCCCUGGCUGCCAAGAAGUCGCCAAUGGCACCUUCCAGGCAGACAUGCUGUGCAAGGUGCAUUUGAGCCUUUGACAAUGUGUUUGGACAGUGUGGUCUAGGUGGGUAGAUAAUAGAAUGAGAAACAGAGGUUUAAAGCAUCCAUCAAUCCAAAUUUUACAGCCAUUACUGAACUUUAAAACGCAUUUCUCUUGAAGGCGGAGAAACUCAGGCUCACGUGGUUGAAGGAUUUCCGUGAACAUCUAGGCAGCUGAGUUAGAAGUAGGACCCAAGCAUCCAGGUCCCAUCCAGGGCUGUGCCCCAAGCCCCCGGGCCUCUGCAUUUUAUCUUGUAAACUAUAGUGUUUACAUAUUUUUGACUAGCUACAAGAUACAUACUCAUUUUCAUAUCAGUGAAAAAAAUAAAAGGAAAAAAAAAGAAAACAACUCACCACGCGGUGUUAACCGUAGUCACAGAUCCUACCAGGCUUUCCAUUGUUUUCCCCUUACCUGGUUUUACCACACAAUCUUAUUUUGCUGUUUGGAACCUGACUCUUUCUUAUAAAAGAUCAUGAAUAUCCUUUCAAUUCAAUGCGUCUGACUCUACAAGACCCUGUAUCCAAAAUCCCUCGGACUUUCCUAAGGGAUCAGAGCAAUCAAGGUGUCUUUUGUUAGGUUAAUGAAGUGACUUUUGGACCCCUUCGGAGGUUGGGGCUGGUUGCCAGGGGAAGGGACCAGGUGAUUGGAACUUUCAGUCCCACCCCCUCAGACCUCGGUGGAGGUUGAAUCCAUCACCAAGGUCGAUGAUGUAAUCAAGCAUGCCGAGGUAAUGAGGCCUCCAUAAAACACCAAAGGAAGGGCUUAGGAGAGCUUCCAGGUUGGUGAACACGUGGAAAUUGGGGGAGAGACAGGUCCCCUGAAAAGGAUGUGAGUUCCAUGUGCUCUGGCCAUACCUCAUCCCACGCAUUUCUUCCAUCUGGCCCGUUCCCAAGCUGUAUCCUUCCAGGAUAAACCGGUGAUCUGCAUGGAGCCCAACGUGGGGUUUGAACUCAUGACCCUGAGAUCAAGACCUGAGCUAAGAUCAACAGUCGGAUGCUUAACCGACUGAGCCACCCAGGCGCCCCACAAGUAAUUUGGAUUUUAUCUUGAAGAAAGAUCCUGGAAGCAUUGAAAUGUUUGAAUGGAGGAGAGACGUAAUCAAAUGCAUGGUUGAUUAGAAAGACGCUCUGGCUCGGCCACAGUGGUUGGUUCUCAAUGGAGGACUAACGAAGUCAGAGGACGCUCCUUAGAAAUACACAAUCUUAUUGCCAGCUGGUGCUCCGACCUGGAAUUGUGACCUAUUCCCAUGGAGAUCUGGAUUUGAUCUCCUGUGAGACGAAAGGGGAUUUUGUGAGAGACCAAUCUGGCCUGAGUGGCUUGCGGACUGUUGCCUUCCUUGGAGUAACUGUACUUUGGUUUUCUAAGGGAAGUGGGAUCCCUUAGAAUCCCUCCCCAGUGGGAUGCAUUCCUAGUUCACAAUCAAGUGUCGAGGAGAAAGAGAUUCCUAAGGGUGAACCUCGAGACUCCAAGCCAGGCAGAAAGCCAGAGCCUUUAGAUCAUGGUGUGAACACAGAAAUCUGCUCCUUAGUUGUGCAAGGCGUCUUUGACCCAUCAGAAGACACUUCACAAUCCUUUUCUCAUCUCUGGUCUAGAAUUAAAUGAUUAAUGCAGCUCAGGAGCUCAGCACCUGCAUGGCAUUUAAUAAAGUUAUAUAAAGUGG
Acinonyx jubatus (cheetah) is the source of this 3538-nucleotide long non-coding RNA. RefSeq lists it as uncharacterized. NCBI's taxonomy places the organism in Eukaryota, Metazoa, Chordata, Mammalia, Carnivora, Felidae. The record is from RefSeq and is a predicted model, not a curated record. The transcript is spliced from 3 exons.